RNAcentral lists this unclassified non-coding RNA (1763 nucleotides) under Drosophila virilis. RNAcentral's name for it is "GJ20796". Lineage: Eukaryota; Metazoa; Arthropoda; Insecta; Diptera; Drosophilidae. The record is from RNAcentral.
CAUAAAUAUCACGACAUGGGCAUACUCAAGCAAUAUCUGGCCGGCCUCUCGGCAUCCUUUGGUGGCUUUUGCUUGGGCACCUCGGAGGGCUGGUCGGGACCCGUCCAGCAUUCGAUCCUGGCCGGAAACGCAUACAAAUUUACGCCCACCCUAAAUGAGUUCGCUUGGACCGCCUCGCUGUUCGAUCUGGGCGCCGCCAGCAUGUGCAUGCCAUCCGGAGUGCUGAUAGCUGCAUUUGGACGCAAAUUGGUUAUGCUGCUGCUGGCCGUGCCAUUUUUCUUGGGUUGGGCAUGCAUUUUAUUUGCCCAACAUGUGUGUAUGCUGUUCAUCGGACGCUUCGUUUUGGGUGCCUGCAGUGGGGCGUACAGCGUCGCCGCGCCCAUUUACACAACGGAGAUAGCCGAGGUGAAGAGCCGCGGCAUUAUGGGAUUCUUUUUCCAAUUGAUGAUCGUAAACGGAACACUCUUUAGCUUUAUAGCUGGCAGCUAUUGUUCGGUAGAAACCUUUAACAUAUUGUGCAGCAUCAUGUCAAUCGUUAUAUUUGUGCUAUUAAUCUGGGUACCCGAAUCGCCCGUAUAUCUCGUGCAGAAGCGACGGCCCGACAAGGCGCAGAGCGUCCUCCGGCGGCUGCGUGCCGCCGAUGCCGAUAUAAGCGCAGACAUGGCUAUCCUAAUCGCAGAUACCCAAAAGAAGAAAGCCACCUGUGGCCAGGCAUUCUCGCGCAAGACCACAAUCAGAGGCAUCUUCAUAUCCGUAACGCUGAUGGUGUUCCAGGAGUUUACGGGCAUCUGUGCCAUCACCUUCUAUGUGGCCAGCAUAUUCGAGGAAGCCGGCACUGGGAUUCCCACGGGAGUCUGCACCAUUAUCAUUGGCGCUGUUAGCGUCAUAUCGACGAUUCCGGCAACUAUGUACAUCGAUCGACUUGGUCGAAAAAUGCUGCUGAUAUUCUCGGGUGUCUUGAUGGGCAUCACAACCCUAGUGUUGGGCUUCUAUUAUAUGGGCAUGAAGGAUUUGAAUGUCGGCUGGGUGGCUGUGACAUCCGUUUGUGUAUACGAAAUUGGCUACUCGGUGGGCUAUGGCCCGGUGCCGUGGCUGGUUAUGGCCGAGCUGUUCGCGGAGGAUGUCAAGCCCAUUUGUGGCGCCAUCGUGGCCACCUGUACUUGGCUAUUUGCUUUUGCCGUUACCAAAUUGUUUCCGGUAUGCGUGCUGGAGUUCGGUUCGGCGAUCACGUUUUGGGGAUUCGCUGUCAUUUCAUUUUCAUCGUGCAUUUUUGUCAUUUUCUGUGUGCCGGAGACGAAGGGCAAGAGCUUAGAUGAAAUCCAACAGUUGCUCAAAGGCAAAUAAGCGAGGACAAAGAAAGCUUUCUAUUUGAGAAUACCAUUGGAGAAUAUCUUUGUACAUGAUGCUUUUUGAGACAAAAUAUAUCAUUGGAUUGGAUCAACGAAACAUUGUCCGUCUGUAUCUUCAAGCAAUAUUUAGUACGGCCUGCCCAGCAUACUUUGGUGGCUUUUGCUUGGAAAUCACGGAAGGACGGAGCACCUGGUCAUUGGAUCUUGGCGCCUCUGUCAUGUGUAUGCCCUCUGGAGUACGAUUUGCUAUUUUAUUGGAUGAGCGUGGACUAGCUGGGCGAGGAUUCUUAUAAAUACUGAGAAGCAAAACGACACCAAAAUCUGCUUUAUCGUCUGAGUGACAUCCCAUUGUGUAUUCAAUAAAGAAUGAUCCGACUCUGUUCUGCUGCGUGGAAAUCAUUAAAGAAAUCCGAA